GACGAACGCUGGCGGCGUGCUUAACACAUGCAAGUCGAACGGAAAGGCCCUGCUUUUGUGGGGUGCUCGAGUGGCGAACGGGUGAGUAACACGUGAGUAACCUGCCCUUGACUUUGGGAUAACUUUAGGAAACUGGGGCUAAUACCGGAUAGGAGCUCCUGCUGCAUGGGGGGGGUUGGAAAGUUUCGGUGGUUGGGGAUGGACUCGCGGCUUAUCAGCUUGUUGGUGGGGUAGUGGCUUACCAAGGCUUUGACGGGUAGCCGGCCUGAGAGGGUGGCCGGCCACAUUGGUACUAAGGUACGGCCCAGAAUCCUACGGGAGGCAGCAGUGGAGAAUAUUGCACAAUGGGCGGAAGCCUGAUGCGGCAACGCCGCGUGCGGGAUGACGGGCUUCGAGUUGUAAACCACUUUCGCCUGUGACGAAGCGGGAGUGACGGUAAUGGGUAAAGAAGCACCGGCUAACUACGUG
This 468-nucleotide ribosomal RNA is filed under the name uncultured bacterium. RNAcentral describes it as "partial 16S ribosomal RNA". It matches the Rfam family "Bacterial small subunit ribosomal RNA", at positions 28 to 507 of the family's 1533-position model. The record is from RNAcentral.